This 253-nucleotide ribosomal RNA is filed under the name uncultured bacterium. RNAcentral's name for it is "partial 16S ribosomal RNA". It matches the Rfam family "Bacterial small subunit ribosomal RNA", at positions 524 to 776 of the family's 1533-position model. The record is from RNAcentral.
UACGAGGGGGGCAAGCGUUGUUCGGAUUUACUGGGCGUAAAGCGCACGUAGGCGGAUUGUUAAGUCAGGGGUGAAAUCCCCGGGCUCAACCUGGGAACUGCAUUUGUGACUGCACGGCUAGAGUGUGUCAGAGGGGGGUAGAAUUCCACGUGUAGCAGUGAAAUGCGUAGAGAUGUGGAGGAAUACCGAUGGCGAAGGCAGCCCCCUGGGAUAGCACUGACGCUCAUGCACGAAAGCGUGGGGAGCAAACAGG